Xiphophorus hellerii (green swordtail) is the source of this 1865-nucleotide RNA transcript. It is a transcript of the gene named clusterin-like protein 1, with no coding region annotated. The transcript has 7 exons. The record is from RefSeq and is a predicted model, not a curated record. Lineage: Eukaryota; Metazoa; Chordata; Actinopteri; Cyprinodontiformes; Poeciliidae.
AUGAGGAGGCUUCUAGUUCAAAUCCUGUGCAUCACUAACAUUUUCCUGUGUUCUGCUAAUUCUCCUUCACUGAGUGAAGGCAUCCUGACAAAUCUGUCUGCAGCCGGCGAGAAGUAUGUGAAUGAGGAGAUAAAGAAAUCUCUACUCAGAGUGAAACAAGUAAAAGAAAAAAUGGAGAAAGAAGAAGAGAAGCACAAAUACCUGAUGGAGGAAGUGAGGCACAGUGGAGACAAGAAAAGGGGGGCCAUGCAGCUGGCCAGGGAAACGGAGCAGAAACUCAAGGAGGCCGAGCGGCAGUGUCGAGAUUUAACUAAGUCUUUCUUUGGGGAGUGUCGGCCUUGUCUGGAGGAUUCUUGUAAGGCCUUCUUUACCUCUACAUGUCGCCGUGGCUACGCUUCCUUUGCUUUUAAGGUUGAGGAAUUUUUUAGGAAAAUGGCCUCCCAGGUUGAGGCCACAGAGAUGAAUUCAGAUAAACUUAAAUCUGGUUCAGCUGAGAUUAAAGAGGAUGAAACAGACGUGGAGCUUCUUCAGGCUGAUGCUGCGUUCACUCAGCUGCUGUCGAACAUCAGUGACUUGUACAACCACAGCAUCAGUCUGAUGACGAGUUUGCAGCAUGUGCUUGGACCCUCCCUUCUCGAAGCCUUAACCUCAGAGCUCCAGUCGGGGUCGAUCUCUGCAUCGCCAGAUGAAUCUGAUGAUAGUCUUUUAAAAAGUUGGGGCUUGGAUCACAUCUUUUACUCAGCAUUUGCGUUUGGGAAAGAUGUGCUGGAGGAAUUGAGCUCCACGGUGGAGGAUGUAUUCGAAGAGAUUCAAGAAGCUGAUGAAUAUUUUCACCACUCAAACAGAGAUGCAGAAUCGCUUUCCUCGUUUGGACAGCAUCCAAAUGGGUAUCUGUGUCGAACGCUCCGCAGACAGGCAUCACAAUGUUGGCAGCUCCAAAACCUGUGUGAGACCUGCGGAAACAAUCUAAUAAAAGAGUGUCCGCAAUUGCAGCAGCUGCACUCUGAGAUGGAAGAGAUGCACACCCUGAUGAACGCCUCUCGUCUUCAGUAUGACGACAGGCUGCAGCUUGUUCACAGACACACAGUGGACACACAGAGGUGGCUUGGGGACACCAGGGACAAGUAUGGCUGGAUCAGCUGGGUGGCCAAUGUCUCAAAGGCUCAGAGCAGCAUCUUCAGGGUGAUCGCAGUACGUCUGGAGAAUACUUAGAAAAAGUAUUGCUUUUCAUUCUCUCUUUUUGGAUCGCAACAUCAAUUCUGGAGAGAUUUGCCGCUUAUAAAGAGUGAAUAUAAUCAAGCUAAUGCAGUAUCUGAUGUUUUUGCAAUAAAACAGUUUCAAAAAUAUUAAUAAUACAUAGUCGCUUUAUUAACAGAAACCUAAAUGAGCUGUUCUUAUUUAAAUAGUGAGAUGAUGCAGUUGUACUCUGAUUAUUUUUCAGGUGAAUCUGCAGCAACUGAGGACUAGCAGUCCCGGAGCUGACAGCAGUGUGGUUGUGUCCAUAUUGGAUUCAGCUCCUCUAACUGUAUCAGUCCCAGCAGAUCUAAUGGUAGAGGAUCCUGCUUUCGUGGAAUAUAUUGCUGACCAUGCUCUGACUCUCUAUAAGCAGCAAAUAAGUGGAAUGAACUGACCACUUCCAUUUCUGAACAAAUUUCUCUGAAGUUGAAACAAAUCUGCAGUCCAGUCCACUCAUCCUGCAUAAUUUGAAGUUUAUGUCACUAAAACAAAUUGGUAAAGCUUUUCAGCUUCUUGGCUUUUCAUUGAUAGAUUUUGACAGUAUACAGUCUGAUGCACUGAUGACUAUUUUUCCUUCUUAAUGCACCAAACUUAUCCUCAGCAUGAUCCUCAACAAUGACAUAAUGAAA